This 253-nucleotide ribosomal RNA is filed under the name uncultured bacterium. RNAcentral's name for it is "partial 16S ribosomal RNA". It matches the Rfam family "Bacterial small subunit ribosomal RNA", at positions 524 to 776 of the family's 1533-position model. The record is from RNAcentral.
UACGGGGGGAGCAAGCGUUGUUCGGAUUUACUGGGCGUAAAGGGCGCGUAGGCGGGCUCGCCAGUCUGUGGUGAAAGCCCCCGGCUUAACCGGGGAAGUGCCGUGGAUACUGCGAGUCUUGAGGAGGGUAGGGGCAUCUGGAACGCUGGGUGGAGCGGUGAAAUGCGUUGAUAUCCAGCGGAACUCCGGUGGCGAAGGCGGCUCACUGGACCGGUACUGACGCUGAUGCGCGAAAGCGUGGGGAGCAAACGGG